CUCUCACCAGAAGUGUGUGUGUGUGUGUGUGUGUGUGUGUGUGUACACACACACACACACACACACACACACACACACACACAAACAGAGUGAGGG
This 96-nucleotide microRNA precursor is filed under the name Podarcis lilfordi (Lilford's wall lizard). Lineage: Eukaryota; Metazoa; Chordata; Lepidosauria; Squamata; Lacertidae. The record is from RNAcentral.